AUCCAUGUGGAAAUGUCUGCUCCUCAUUCUUUUAGGAUCAGGAAUACAUUCAUAACAUGUUACAUUAAUAAAGGAGUUCUCAGGGCUGCCAACCUUAUAGUAGAGGUUGGGUGGUAGUGUAUUUCUUCUACAUAA
Molecule: small nucleolar RNA, 135 nt
Organism: Microcebus murinus (gray mouse lemur)
Lineage: Eukaryota; Metazoa; Chordata; Mammalia; Primates; Cheirogaleidae
Source: Ensembl